UACGUUACGUAGUAAUUAAAUGUUGAUUCAUUAUAUUUUUAUUACAUUAUAAUAUUGUGUCCUACCAAAGAUGACCUAAUAUCACGAAACAAAUUUUAUUAUUGCAUGCUCGAACACUUCAAAGCAAGAUAUUCAAAGUGCAUCAUAAGUAACAAUAAUACCACUUAACACGCCAAGACAUACGCCAGUGCAUGUAUGACCUAAUAAUAUAUGCCGUUUCAAAUUCCCUUUCUCCAAUGCUAAAGAAAAAAAAAGGAAAAAUAAAAAAAAAA
This 272-nucleotide long non-coding RNA is filed under the name Jatropha curcas. RNAcentral describes it as "long non-coding RNA (JCUR_LNC003596)". The record is from RNAcentral. Lineage: Eukaryota; Viridiplantae; Streptophyta; Magnoliopsida; Malpighiales; Euphorbiaceae.